GAGAAGCCAAGAUGGCCGCCGGUGCCGACGCCCCGGCCAGGCCAGGCCCAGGCUGCGAGCGCUCCCCCUUCCGGCUCCGAGCGGGCGGGGCGACAGAGCAUGCGCAGUGAGGUGCGCCGCCGGCCGCUGCUCCCAUCCCGACGGUGAGGAGGUCCACUUCGGGUGUUCCUCCAGCUUCUCAGGUAGUUCUCAAAUGUGAGGAUGUCCAAGAACUAUCCAGUACAGUUGCACAGACCCCAUUCUCUUCGAAGAAGACUACUUUGGACCGAUGGAAACAAAUAUAUGAAGAACUAGUGCCUUAGCCUCUGGGGAAAAUCCCUGGCCUUUAUUCCCCUAUGGAAGAAAGCAAACAGAAGCCCUCUGCAAACUACUUUGAUAGAUGUUGAUUCUCUGCCUAAAGGAGAGAGCCAAGCUGUGAGAACUGGACUGGAAGGUCAGAAGAAUUUGCUACCGUAAGACAAAUGAUCACUCUGUGACAGACAGUGGCUCAGGUUCAACAGGCAUGCAUAGAGUACAUACAUUGGCCAAAUACUGCAUUGGAUGCCAGGGUAUAAAGGUGAGUAGAACACAGUCCUUAUCCGAGCCUUCAAAGCCUACUUGGGAGAACAAAUGAGACCUAUGAUGCAACCUGUCAUGAUUGCGACUGACGCAAAGAAAGGCUCAAAAUGAAAAGUGCUUUGGAGUCAUAGAGGAGAAGUCGUCAGCUCUACUGGGAGGAAAAGGAGCUAAGAGAAGGCUUCACACAAGGGGUAACACUGAUGCUAAUUGGAGUCUCCAGGUUGGUUCUAGCUAGCAGUUAUUUUGUGAAAAUGAAAUAAAUUACAGAAUUUGUUGACAUUUCUGGUUCAUCUUUUUUUCAUAAUGGUCU
Long non-coding RNA from Hippopotamus amphibius kiboko, 868 nucleotides. RefSeq lists it as uncharacterized. The record is from RefSeq and is a predicted model, not a curated record. The transcript has 3 exons. NCBI's taxonomy places the organism in Eukaryota, Metazoa, Chordata, Mammalia, Artiodactyla, Hippopotamidae.